RNAcentral lists this ribosomal RNA (430 nucleotides) under Eimeria crandallis. RNAcentral's name for it is "SSU rRNA". It matches the Rfam family "Eukaryotic small subunit ribosomal RNA", at positions 456 to 891 of the family's 1831-position model. Lineage: Eukaryota; Apicomplexa; Conoidasida; Eucoccidiorida; Eimeriidae. The record is from RNAcentral.
GCGCGUUGCCAGUAUCUGUGCAUAUCAUACAGGGCAUUUUAUGCUCUGUAAUUGGAAUGAUGGGAAUGUAAAACCCUUCCAGAGUAACAAUUGGAGGGCAAGUCUGGUGCCAGCAGCCGCGGUAAUUCCAGCUCCAAUAGUGUAUAUUAGAGUUGUUGCAGUUAAAAAGCUCGUAGUUGGAUUUCUGCUGUGGUCAUCCGGUACCGCCCGUAUGGGUGCGCACCUGGUUUGGCUGCGGCUUUCUUCCUGUAGCCGUCCGCGCUUAAUUGCGUGCGUUGUGUUACGGAACUUUUACUUUGAGAAAAAUAGAGUGUUUCAAGCAGGCUUGUCGCCCUGAAUACUUCAGCAUGGAAUAAUAGGAUAGGACCUUGGUUCUAUUUUGUUGGUUUCUAGGACCAAGGUAAUGAUUAAUAGGGACAGUGGGGGGCAU